This is a long non-coding RNA of Aquila chrysaetos chrysaetos, 1861 nucleotides long. RefSeq lists it as uncharacterized. The transcript is spliced from 3 exons. Lineage: Eukaryota; Metazoa; Chordata; Aves; Accipitriformes; Accipitridae. The record is from RefSeq and is a predicted model, not a curated record.
GGCCGGGUCGGGCGCCGCGCUUCUGCCUGGGCUCCGGCACAUUCCCCCGGGCCCGUCCCAUGUCGGGCUGCGUCUUCCACUCCUCGCUCCAGGCAUCGCUCGCUUUCUCCCGGCCGCGCUAAACAAGUUAUCUGUUACAGAAGGGGGGGAACCCCAAACGUGAAGUCGCCGUUAAACCGUUUCAGCAGGGAAACUAUCCGACAAGACGCUUAAGAUGCCCUGUGAGGUAAAACGUAGUGAUAGAGUAAAACGCACCAGGCUCCUCGGCCCCUGCUCGUUUGCGCUGUACUUAAAAUUCCUCUCUGUGCAAGUACCAGCAAGUCAGAGGCCGUGCAUGUAAAGAAAAUGGGAUUUUAGCUGAAGGCCUAAAACACUGCUGCUUCAUUUGCUUAAAAGGUUAAAAAGAGCGUCUAUACCGAGUUAAAAAAAAAUAUUAUUUCUGGGAGCCUGCUACAUACACCAAGUUAGGGUUUUUUUUUAAUUUAAUCAUUUUUAUAAGUAUUUUCUGGGUGAGGGAGUGAAAAUACCUAUUCAUUAAUUAUAGCUCUAUCACAGAACAAACAAGAAAGAAAACUAAAUACUAGCAAAUUCUGUGUUCGGUGCACUUUAGUGCUUAAAUACUAGUAAAUUCUUUAGGUGUUCAAUGCAUUUCAGUGCUGUGCAAACUGGAGCUGUCUGAGCCCAGGUUCAGCUGUGAUAAUACAGCCAGAACCUCAAGUAGUGUUAAAUGACAAGAUUAGUGUGGUGAUAAUAAAUAAGAGGAAUGCUCUAAGAGAAACGCUCUGGAAAUAGAAAAAGUGUUCAAAGUGUAGAAUCAACCUUACAUGUUUAUCUUGCAGCACUAAGGUAUAUGACUUUAAUAGUGCUGGAAAAUUAUUUAAUUUAGAACAGGCACAAUUUAUUUAAAACCAGGCUUGAGUACUUUUUUUUCCAGAAUGUUUAGGCUGCUUGUAAACUUUAAGUCCCGUUAUCUUUCCCAUGACAAGGAAACCCAUUUUAAAUGAACGAUUUUUCUUUCCCUACAACUACUCUCUCAUCUGAAAAUGCUGUUAAUUAUUUUUACUGAAUAGAGAAAUUCAGUUGCUACAAAGUUGGGAGGAAUGGGAUACAAUAAGCUACAGAACAACGAGGCUUCUCAUAUUCCUAGUAUUUGGCAGUUUCCUACUUAAGUCAUUGCCCUUUUAACCACAGGUUGUACUUAAAUUUGUUAAGCUUAGUAAUGCUUGAGUUUAAUUUCUUCUUGCUUCACUUGUCCAAACAUACGUUUCUGUAAUAGGAUUAUUUGUGCAGUCUCUGUAUUUAUUCAUACUACAUAGUAGUAAUAUAAUUUAUUCUGAAAACCUCUGGUCAGAACUCUUUUUUUUUUUAAAUGAAACGAUCAAUGGGGGAGAACUGUUUUGCUGUCAUGUUACAUACCUCAACAGUCAGCUAGACCAGACUAAUAGCUGCUGUUGUGCUUGUAUAUCUUCCUCUCAGGGUGGAUAUGAAUGAAAAUGGAGGAGAAGACAGCAAAACUGUACAAGUUGCUUAAAGUUAUGGCAUAGGGUAAACACAAGAUGGACUUAUCUUUGGGAUUGGUCUGUGUCUAACACAAGUCAAGUUUGAAGACUAACCUCUUCGAUACUCUACUCUCCAUUUUUGGCUCCAAAGACUGCCUCUUCCCAUGCAGCAGAACUGAUAAAGAAUCUCCAGAAUCAAUGUAACUGCUGAAUUCUGAGUUAUCAGCUGUGAAAAUAAACAGUCUUGUGACUUGCCUUACAUCUGCUUCAGAAAGGGACUGCUGCAAGUGCAGGUGUGGAAAGACUACUGAAAGUUCUUGCAGUGCCUUCAGCAUGUAUACAGUUGUGGUGCAUUCCCAGAU